Girardinichthys multiradiatus is the source of this 1401-nucleotide long non-coding RNA. RefSeq lists it as uncharacterized. Lineage: Eukaryota; Metazoa; Chordata; Actinopteri; Cyprinodontiformes; Goodeidae. The transcript has 4 exons. The record is from RefSeq and is a predicted model, not a curated record.
GUGUUCCCUCUUUCUACCAAAGAGCUGCUGCAUUACCUGGAUAGAGAAAAAUAAAUGGAUGGAAGAGCAUCAUCUCACUGUAUAGACAGCACAAUCAGCGGGUGUAUUCUGCUUAGGAGUUCAGUGUGAUGAUAGUUGGAACCAAUGUCUAAGUAGCCAAAUUAAACAUGGGGAGAACGUGAAUCACCUGAAACUGAGUUACUGAUAUCAACAGCUAGUCUACUGUUUAGAAUGGACAACAUUUACAACUUUAUACUGACCAAUGAACCUAUUUUAGUGUUAAUCAAUAAUAGUUUCCACACCUAUAGGAGAAAGAUGACAUCACUGUGACCUUGUUUCACAGACUACAUCUUAGCUUCCACCACUGCAAGGAUUCAUUUACUGUUCAACCAGCUCACUAUGAUGUGUUCUUUUCUACUGAAAGGAACUAUUACCUAUUAUAACUACACAGAACCAGACCUAAAAAAAACCCAAGUCACCUUUUAAAAUAUUUCAGACUCAUAAUUCAGCUGUUCCCUUAUAACACAGAAAAAUGUGAAAAUGUAUCUUUUUUAAAAAUCAGACCAAGAUAUUAUCGUUAACGAAAACUAACGAAAUAACGAAAAAUAGAAGUAAAAAACCAUUUUCGUUCAUAAUAAAAACGAGACAUUGCAAAUAAAGGAAAACUCACUGAAACUGUAAUGAGUGUUCACAAAACUAACUAAAAUUAACUGAAUUUAUAGAGAUAAUGUGAUUAGUUUUCGUUUGUGUGCCUCAUGCAUCAUGAAGUCUAGAUCCGGUUGUUGUUGUUUUUGUUCUCGCUGUGCCGCAUUCCGCCAGCAGAUGGCGUGUACGUCAAGUCAUCUGUGCGUCGAAAACGCCAGGGAGUAUGUUGCGUUCAACAACGGUAGCUGGUCACGCGGCUAUUAACGUUACAGAGUAGUUGAAGAAGAGCUAAGCACGCUGCCUUGGACUGGAUUGACCCUGGCCGUGAUGAAAUUUGGUUUGCGGUAGGAAACGUUACUAGUGUUGUCAACAUUCACUGUGCCAGGUAAAAGAAUUGGCUUGGAUGUGUUUCGUUUUAAAGAGACAUGAGAGCAGAGAGGAAGAGAAAGAGAUUACUAUAUAAAGUGAUGGCAUUCUGCAAGUCCCCAAGGGAAGAAAGCAAGAUGACUCUGGGAGCCGUGGGGGAAGCCUAAUGUCGAGUGAACUCUGCCGCACGGCCUCCCUUAGCCUGGAUGGCUAAGGGAGGCCGUGCGGCAGAGUCCCUGUGUAUAGAUUUGCAUCAGGCCGGUGGAUUAUUGUCUUCCUCGACGCCGGGUGACUCUCACAGGAUCCAGAGAGUCACCAAGAAGUCAACUCCGAGAACGACCUGAGGCCUGGAGACCUGGUCCUGAUUAAGACACUCCACAGGAAGGAUUG